UACAGAGGGGGCAAGCGUUGUUCGGAAUUACUGGGCGUAAAGGGCGCGUAGGCGGCCUGCUAAGUCGAACGUGAAAUCCCCGAGCUCAACUCGGGAACUGCGUCCGAUACUGGCAGGCUUGAAUCCGGGAGAGGGAUGCGGAAUUCCAGGUGUAGCGGUGAAAUGCGUAGAUAUCUGGAGGAACACCGGUGGCGAAGGCGGCAUCCUGGACCGGCAUUGACGCUGAGGCGCGAAAGCUAGGGGAGCGAACGGG
Molecule: ribosomal RNA, 253 nt
Filed under: uncultured bacterium
Lineage: Bacteria
Description: partial 16S ribosomal RNA
Rfam family: Bacterial small subunit ribosomal RNA
Source: RNAcentral